Molecule: non-coding RNA, 1247 nt
Organism: Amborella trichopoda
Lineage: Eukaryota; Viridiplantae; Streptophyta; Magnoliopsida; Amborellales; Amborellaceae
Source: RefSeq, a predicted model, not a curated record
AUGGGUUCUAAAAGUGCAGAGAAACAUCAUGCCCUGUGCAUUCCAUAUCCAGCACAAGGCCACAUUAACCCCAUGAUGCACCUUGCUAAGCUUCUCCAUGCUAGAGGCUUUUACAUAACUUUUGUCAACACUGAAUUUAACCAUGAGCGUGUUACUAGUUCAGGAGGAGCCAUCGAAUUGAAGCAUUUAGAGGAUUUUAACUUGGAAUCGAUCCCUGAUGGCUUGCCACCUGACGAUUGCCAGACCCAAGAAAGCCUUUUCGAUGCAACAACGAAGUAUUUCUUGAGUCCUUUCAAGGAUCUGGUUUCAAAACUCAAUGGCUCCAUGGAAGUCCCUCGGCUUACAUGCAUAAUUUCGGAUGGCCUUCUGAACUUUACACAGCAAGUUGUAGAAGAGAAUGGGAUCCCAAGGAUUUCUCUGUGGACGACGAGUACUUGUGGUUACUGGGGAUUCUUGCAGUACCCGGCGAUCUUCGAAAGAGGAAUCCUGCCUUUCAAAGAUGAGAAUUUCUUGACCAACGGCGACCUCGAAACAGUUGUGGAUUGGAUACCUGGCAUGCCGAAUAUCCGUCUAAGAGAUCUACCCUCCUCUAUUAGGACAACCAUUCUUAGUGAUAUCGUGCUACAAUUUUGCCAGGUUAAAUGCCAUGAUGCCCUCAAGGCUUCAGCUCUCAUUCUUAACACAUUCAAAGAUUUAGAGAAACCUGUUCUCGAUGCCAUGAGAGAAAGAAUCUCAUGCCCAAUCUAUACAAUUGGCCAUGUUGUAAGCUUUAGCCAAGUGAAUCCAAUGUCCACUUAAACUCAGUUUCAAUGAGUCUUUGGAAAGAAGAGGAUGCUUGUCUAGAAUGGCUCAAUGACAAGGAACCUAAGUCAGUUCUCUAUGUGAAUUUUGGCAGUUUGGCAAUUUUAACACCCAAUCAAAUCAAUGAGUUUGCUUGGGGUCUUGCUAAUAGCCAAAGACCAUUCAUAUGGGUCAUUCGCGACGAUCUUGUAGCUGGCGAAUCCGCAAUGUUAGAAAAAGAAUUUGUCGAAGCAACCAAAGAAAGAGGGUUAAUCUUGAGUUGGUGUAACCAAAUGAAAGUACUGUCACACCACGCAAUUGGUGGCUUCCUAACUCACAAUGGGUGGAAUUCUACAAUUGAGAGCAUUAGCAAUGGGGUGCCGAUGAUAUGUUGGCCGUAUCUUGUCGAACAACAAACAAAUUGCUGGUACGUUUGCAAGGAAUUGGGCAUUGGUAUGGAGAUAAAC